CGCCAAGGUCACGGCUGCGGCCGUUGUGACGUCGUGGAGUAAAGGCGGGGCGGGAAAAGAGGAUGGAAGGGGAGAUUCGGAUGGAAUUUCUUAUUAAGAGAAAGACGUCGCCCAACGCCGUACCUUGACCUACUUACAUCCGGUUUUGGCUUCUUUAUUGCCUAUCGGACUCGCUUCUCUGACCAAAUGCUAUUUGAAGACUUCGAUCCUCCUUGUUAUUUAGCCCCGUAAUUCGACCAGUUUCGCUUUUUUUUACCUUUAAAUCACACAUCUAUAUUAAGUAACAAGACCUGUUCAACCAACAAAUACAACCUUUAUUUAGUCUAUUAACUAUAGCAUUCAAGAAGUAUGUGGAAGCAAAGACAUCUAACAAGAGGAAGGCUGUAAUAGCAACAAUUGGGAUGAAAAAGAAACUUAUCACAAAGCACGAAAGCGGUACAUGCGUGGUGGAUCUGGCAACCACAUUUCAGAUGCCGAAGUCGACAGUGUGCAAACAGUAAAUGGAAUUUUCAUUUUAUUAUACAGUAUUUAUAUAUAUUAUUUAUUGUUUUUGUGUUUUAAUUUAUUAUUGGGGCCUUUAGUUGUCUUAUUUUUACCUUAAAUUACUGUUGAUUAGACUUCAAACAGCUUCCUGGAAUGAAUUAAAUUUGGAGACACCACUGUACAAGUUUUAAUCCUAGGAAUAAUUUUUUAUAAGUACAAAAAAUAUAGUUUCAGAGAAAAAAAUUAUUGUUUUUGUAAAUUGUACUAACAUAGUAAUAAAAAGAAUGCAUAAAAUAA
Centruroides sculpturatus (bark scorpion) is the source of this 780-nucleotide long non-coding RNA. RefSeq lists it as uncharacterized. The transcript has 2 exons. The record is from RefSeq and is a predicted model, not a curated record. Lineage: Eukaryota; Metazoa; Arthropoda; Arachnida; Scorpiones; Buthidae.